AUGUUACAUUCAUCCCCUCUCCAUCUCGUCAUCUUCGUGCGCGUGACCAUAUCCAGCAGCUCUGCCUCAUCGUCGCCACCUCCCAGGACCCUUCUCCCUCUGCGGAAACCUCCUCGUCGGUGUUCUUCGCCGCGCGCCCAUAGGCGAACAGUGGCCGACACGGCUUUAAUGGCGCUUGUCUCUUCUUCCCCAUGCCCCCUUGGCUCCCUCUGCCACCAUGAGCUCCUCCAUGUUCCUCCUCUGUCGCCUACCUCCAAGCUCGCGCGUGUGCACAUGCGUCCAUGGCUACGGCCACGCGUCCACGGUGACGCCUGCUCAGUCUCCUCCUACCCUUGCUAUUUAAGCCCACCCCAAGCUCCCUCGACCGCACUAGUAGCUCCCUCUCACUCCCAGAAGCCACCCCGAAUCCUCGGUCCAUCGCCAGAGCCACUCCUCGACCUCCAUGGGCGCCACGGCCACUGGACUUCUCCGCCUAAAUUUACUCGCUGCCGAGCCCCUCCCUCCUUCUCUUCAGCACUCGGAGCUCUCCCUCUGCCCGGCGCAUCUUUCCCUUAUCUCUGUUCGUCAGCGGAUCCACCAUAG
RNAcentral lists this ribosomal RNA (582 nucleotides) under Triticum aestivum (bread wheat). RNAcentral describes it as "partial small subunit ribosomal RNA". The record is from RNAcentral. Lineage: Eukaryota; Viridiplantae; Streptophyta; Magnoliopsida; Poales; Poaceae.